Molecule: ribosomal RNA, 497 nt
Filed under: uncultured bacterium
Lineage: Bacteria
Description: partial 16S ribosomal RNA
Rfam family: Bacterial small subunit ribosomal RNA
Source: RNAcentral
GAUGAACGCUGGCGGCGUGCCUAAUACAUGCAAGUCGAGCGAACAGACGAGGAGCUUGCUCCUUUGACGUUAGCGGCGGACGGGUGAGUAACACGUGGAUAACCUACCUAUAAGACUGGGAUAACUUCGGGAAACCGGAGCUAAUACCGGAUAACAUGUUGAACCGCAUGGUUCAACAGUGAAAGACGGUCUUGCUGUCACUUAUAGAUGGAUCCGCGCCACAUUAGCUAGUUGGUAAGGUAACGGCUUACCAAGGCAACGAUGCGUAGCCGACCUGAGAGGGUGAUCGGCCACACUGGAACUGAGACACGGUCCAGACUCCUACGGGAGGCAGCAGUAGGGAAUCUUCCGCAAUGGGCGAAAGCCUGACGGAGCAACGCCGCGUGAGUGAAGAAGGUCUUCGGAUCGUAAAACUCUGUUAUUAGGGAAGAACAAAUGUGUAAGUAACUAUGCACGUCUUGACGGUACCUAAUCAGAAAGCCACGGCUAACUACGUG